This 467-nucleotide ribosomal RNA is filed under the name uncultured bacterium. RNAcentral describes it as "partial 16S ribosomal RNA". It matches the Rfam family "Bacterial small subunit ribosomal RNA", at positions 29 to 507 of the family's 1533-position model. The record is from RNAcentral.
ACGAACGCUGGCGGCGUGCUUAACCCAUGCAAGUCGCACGGAAAGGCCCUGCUUUUGUGGGGUGCUCGAGUGGCGAACGGGUGAGUAACACGUGAGUAACCUGCCCUUGACUUUGGGAUAACUUCAGGAAACUGGGGCUAAUACCGGAUAGGAGCUCCUGCUGCAUGGUGGGGGUUGGAAAGUUUCGGCGGUUGGGGAUGGACUCGCGGCUUAUCAGCUUGUUGGUGGGGUAGUGGCUUACCAAGGCUUUUACGGGUAGCCGGCCUGAGAGGGUGACCGGCCACAUUGGGACUGAGAUACGGCCCAGACUCCUACGGGAGGCAGCAGUGGGGAAUAUUGCACAAUGGGCGGAAGCCUGAUGCAGCAACGCCGCGUGCGGGAUGACGGCCUUCGGGUUGUAAACCGCUUUCGCCUGUGACGAAGCGUGAGUGACGGUAAUGGGUAAAGAAGCACCGGCUAACUACGUG